GAGCCUGUGGCUCAAUGGUAGAGCGUUCGACUCAAAUACCAAAGGUCACGGGUUCGAAUCCCAGGUGUU
Schistocephalus solidus is the source of this 69-nucleotide non-coding RNA. NCBI's taxonomy places the organism in Eukaryota, Metazoa, Platyhelminthes, Cestoda, Diphyllobothriidea, Diphyllobothriidae. The record is from Rfam.